GGAAAUCGGUGGUUUUAAGGCGUAAAUAAGAUGUCAUCUGUGCUGCAGGGGAGCUUCGGGAGGUGCCUAUGAUUUACGGAUAGCCGGGGGAUUUCAAACUCUUGCUCCACGUAACUUGCAUAAAGAAGUGACGGCGUUUAUUAUAACCUUUAAAAACCCCAGCCCAGCAGCACCCAGAGUAAAGGGGGACUGGGCUUCAGGGGGUGCUUGUUGCUUCAAGCAAUCCAGCCGCUUCUCUGCAUCUCUGGUUUGUGUCCGAGACCAGGAAAACGGACCUGUUAGCCAUUCGGAUUAACUGACCCCUUCGACAAGUUUAUGGAGCUGCCAUCUCUCUGCUUGCUGUACUUCCCAUUUCUGAGAGGAGAAAGUGGUGUAUGAGAUCAGAGGAAAAUGCCUCGGACAAAGCAGAUACAUCCCAGAAAUCUGAGAGCAUCAUCACUGUGCUGUGCUGCCAUAAAGGACAGAAUAUAGCCUUUGUCCCUACUCAGCGUUAGCAGAACCAAGAAUGAUGCACGCAGUUGGCAAAGACUUCAACAACAGAGUCCCCAUUCAUUGCUGCGGAGUAGUUUGUUUUAGCCGUGUUACAUAAGCCAUUUGUGGUAUAACUCAGGACAUUGCACAGAAUAAUAUUGGGCAUGGAUAUCCAUCUGUUGUACUAGAUACUGGGAAGGGGAGGAAGAUACCUUAUUGCAGUCAGUUGCUGGGGUAGGUCUUCAAAAGCUAGCUGAACUGAAGUGUUAGGACCCCUUCCCUUAGCAACAUCGUACCACAAGUGCU
This is a long non-coding RNA of Aquila chrysaetos chrysaetos, 777 nucleotides long. RefSeq lists it as uncharacterized. The record is from RefSeq and is a predicted model, not a curated record. The transcript is spliced from 3 exons. NCBI's taxonomy places the organism in Eukaryota, Metazoa, Chordata, Aves, Accipitriformes, Accipitridae.